RNAcentral lists this ribosomal RNA (158 nucleotides) under Pyrenophora graminea. RNAcentral's name for it is "5.8S ribosomal RNA". It matches the Rfam family "5.8S ribosomal RNA". Rfam says of the family: 5.8S ribosomal RNA (5.8S rRNA) is a component of the large subunit of the eukaryotic ribosome. Lineage: Eukaryota; Fungi; Ascomycota; Dothideomycetes; Pleosporales; Pleosporaceae. The record is from RNAcentral.
CAACUUUCAACAACGGAUCUCUUGGUUCUGGCAUCGAUGAAGAACGCAGUGAAAUGCGAUAAGUAGUGUGAAUUGCAGAAUUCAGUGAAUCAUCGAAUCUUUGAACGCACAUUGCGCCCUUUGGUAUUCCAAAGGGCAUGCCUGUUCGAGCGUCAUUU